RNAcentral lists this transfer RNA (90 nucleotides) under Streptomyces nojiriensis. Its description in RNAcentral is "tRNA-Arg". Lineage: Bacteria; Bacillati; Actinomycetota; Actinomycetes; Kitasatosporales; Streptomycetaceae. The record is from RNAcentral.
GGUCCGGGGUGGGCGCGGGCGUCGCCGCGGGGCGGCCGCGGCCCUGGAUGGAGACCACCGCGCCGCUCGGAUCGACCCCGACCCGGGCCG